GGUGAACGCUGGCGGCGUGCCUAAGACAUGCAAGUCGAGCGGGCCGCGGGGUUUUACUCCGUGGUCAGCGGCGGACGGGUGAGUAACGCGUGGGUGACCUACCCGGAAGAGGGGGACAACCCGGGGAAACUCGGGCUAAUCCCCCAUGUGGACCCGCCCCUUGGGGUGUGUCCAAAGGGCUUUGCCCGCUUCCGGAUGGGCCCGCGUCCCAUCAGCUAGUUGGUGGGGUAAUGGCCCACCAAGGCGACGACGGGUAGCCGGCCUGAGAGGGUGGCCGGCCACGGGGGCACUGAGACACGGGCCCGACUCCUACGGGAGGCGGCAGUUAGGAAUCUUCCGCAAUGGGCGCAAGCCUGACGGGGCGACGCCGCUUGGAGGAAGCAGCCCUUCGGGGUGUAAACUCCUGAACCCGGGACGAAACCCCCGACGAGGGGACUGACGGUACCGGGGUAAUAGCGCCGGCCAACUCCGUG
Molecule: ribosomal RNA, 473 nt
Filed under: uncultured bacterium
Lineage: Bacteria
Description: partial 16S ribosomal RNA
Rfam family: Bacterial small subunit ribosomal RNA
Source: RNAcentral